GGCCUUGACAUGCAGAGAACUUUCCAGAGAUGGAUUGGUGGCCUUCGGGAACGUCUGACACAGGUGCUGCAUGGCGUGUCGUCAGCUCGUGUCGUGAGAUGUUGGGUUAAGUCCGUAACGAGCGCAACCCUUGUCCUUAGUUACCAGCACGUUAUGGUGGGCACUCUAAGGAGACUGCCGGUGACAAACCGGAGGAAGGUGGGGAUGACGUCAAGUCAUCAUGGCCCUUACGGCCUGGGCUACACACGUGCUACAAUGGUCGGUACAAAGGGUUGCCAAGCCGCGAGGUGGAGCUAAUCCCAUAAAACCGAUCGUAGUCCGGAUCGCAGUCUGCAACUCGACUGCGUGAAGUCGGAAUCGCUAGUAAUCGUGAAUCAGAAUGUCACGGUGAAUACGUUCCCGGGCCUU
RNAcentral lists this ribosomal RNA (408 nucleotides) under uncultured Pseudomonas sp. RNAcentral's name for it is "bacterial SSU rRNA". It matches the Rfam family "Bacterial small subunit ribosomal RNA", at positions 977 to 1382 of the family's 1533-position model. Lineage: Bacteria; Pseudomonadati; Pseudomonadota; Gammaproteobacteria; Pseudomonadales; Pseudomonadaceae. The record is from RNAcentral.